This 253-nucleotide ribosomal RNA is filed under the name uncultured bacterium. Its description in RNAcentral is "partial 16S ribosomal RNA". It matches the Rfam family "Bacterial small subunit ribosomal RNA", at positions 524 to 776 of the family's 1533-position model. The record is from RNAcentral.
UACGUAGGUGGCAAGCGUUGUCCGGAUUUACUGGGCGUAAAGAGCGCGCAGGCGGUCGUUCAAGUCGCGUGUGAAAGCCCCCGGCUCAACUGGGGAGGGUCACGCGAUACUGAUCGACUCGAAGGCAGGAGAGGGUAGUGGAAUUCCCGGUGUAGUGGUGAAAUGCGUAGAUAUCUGGAGGAACACCGGUGGCGAAGGCGGCAUCCUGGACCGGUAUUGACGCUGAGGAGCGAAAGCCAGGGGAGCAAACGGG